UGUUGGUGCUGUUGCCGAAAGUUCCCUGCGCUAGGCCAUUCUCAGUGAGGAGUACUCGGACAGAGCCUCCACACAGUGUGACUGAAAGCACCCCUCCCUCUAGCAGCUCCCUACCCCGACUGCCGGAUAACUGGUUCCUCCUUCCCCACUUUAUUAUUUGUACUGCUUGGAUAAGUCUAUGGCAGAGACUAGUCCCUUCCAUAAGUCUAGGGCUGAUCUGUCUACCUCCCACCUCCCCAUGCUAGUAGCCCAAUGCAGUGCUCCUCCGUGCUGCCCAGCAUCUAUCCUGUCACUCAGUAUACACCCAGAAACGCCCACUUCAUGUGGCUGCACUGUAGCACUGUGACCCCCCCAACACACACACUGUACAGUUGUGGGGGGUCACAUAGGGAAAUGCAGACAGUGCUUAUCGGGAGCCGGCGCCGGCCUCAUCACAGAGUCAGAGCUGCAGAGAGGCCCCACCUCCUGUCCUCAUUGCUCAGCCUCUCAUAGAUGGUGGCUGCUUGAAACGGACGCCGGGGCUGGUUACAACAAUUCUCUUCUCCUCCCACCGAACAGGCCACACAGCAUUGCAAGGGUGAGGUAGAGAUCGCUCUCAGCAGCCAUGAAGAUAACAAUGCCUGAUCCCAGCAGCAACAUCAGCCAGAGCUGAGGGUCUGCUCAGGAAACUGCUGUGUGAGAGUGUGGUGCUGCAACAAGUCUGCAGACCAGGAAAGGAUCACCAGCACAACCCCAGUGUCAGCAGUCGAAUCUCAUAUACUCCACCGAAUUCUAGCCACGGAAGGUGCUCACUCACUCAUAUAUCUUCAUAGGAGAUUACAAGACACAUCACCCUUAAGAGGAAAAGACAGACGCUUCACAAAUUAGAGUCUUACAUAAAAGAAUGGUGGCCACUGAUACCUCAGUAUAUGACCACAUCAGUUGGCAAAACAUGAUAGCUGUACGGACUCUGGCUGAAGACGUCAACUUGCAGUGCAGCAAAGGGGUGGGUGUCCAGUUCCAAUCCUGAUGCUGACAUUCACGGGUGGGGUUUUGCUUAUAUAAAGGUAUGUGUAUGUGUUUGUUGA
This is a long non-coding RNA of Pseudophryne corroboree (corroboree frog), 1067 nucleotides long. RefSeq lists it as uncharacterized. The transcript has 3 exons. Lineage: Eukaryota; Metazoa; Chordata; Amphibia; Anura; Myobatrachidae. The record is from RefSeq and is a predicted model, not a curated record.